Molecule: ribosomal RNA, 531 nt
Filed under: uncultured bacterium
Lineage: Bacteria
Description: bacterial SSU rRNA
Rfam family: Bacterial small subunit ribosomal RNA
Source: RNAcentral
AAUAGAUACCCUGGUAGUCCAUGCCGUAAACGUUGGGAACUAGAUGUAGGGCCUGUUCCACGGGUUCUGUGUCGUAGCUAACGCAUUAAGUUCCCCGCCUGGGGAGUACGGCCGCAAGGCUAAAACUCAAAGGAAUUGACGGGGGCCCGCACAAGCGGCGGAGCAUGCGGAUUAAUUCGAUGCAACGCGAAGAACCUUACCAAGGCUUGACAUAUAGAAGAACACUGCAGAGAUGCAGGACUCUUUGGACACUUCUAUACAGGUGGUGCAUGGUUGUCGUCAGCUCGUGUCGUGAGAUGUUCGGUUAAGUCCGGCAACGAGCGCAACCCUCGUCCUAUGUUGCCAGCGGUUCGGCCGGGAACUCAUGGGAUACUGCCGUGGUCAACACGGAGGAAGGUGGGGAUGACGUCAAAUCAUCAUGCCCCUUAUGUCUUGGGCUUCACGCAUGCUACAAUGGCCGGUACAAAGAGCGGCGAUACCGUAAGGUGGAGCGAAUCUCAAAAAGCCGGUCUCAGUUCGGAUUGGGGUCUG